RNAcentral lists this long non-coding RNA (391 nucleotides) under Salvia miltiorrhiza (redroot sage). RNAcentral describes it as "long non-coding RNA (SMIL_LNC004280)". Lineage: Eukaryota; Viridiplantae; Streptophyta; Magnoliopsida; Lamiales; Lamiaceae. The record is from RNAcentral.
AUUUUAAGGAAAUAAAAAUCAUGGCCAAAAUUUGAAAUUCAAAUUUUCUGCGGAAACCGAAGGGUUGCAGUCACUCGCCGCCUGCCCCUGACACGCUUGCGUCAUUUCUCUGCGUAAGCCCUUUCCCAGACCGUUCCAAUCCCUAGCUCUCCACCUACACACUUUGCAACGCAAAGUGGGCUCGGAUCAACCUCUGGGCCUCUUCCAAAUUAUCUCGGCCCGACUUCCCUGCAAGUUAGUGCAUCCAAACACAAAACAAAACAACUUAAAAGAAAAGAAAAGAAAAUUCGGUAUAGACCAUACCGAAGUAACCACGCUGGGUUGCCUCCCAGCAAGCGCUCUUGUUUCCCGUCUUGAGCUCGACCUCCCUUCACUCUUCACUCGUACUCAG